RNAcentral lists this unclassified non-coding RNA (661 nucleotides) under Hevea brasiliensis (rubber tree). The record is from RNAcentral. Lineage: Eukaryota; Viridiplantae; Streptophyta; Magnoliopsida; Malpighiales; Euphorbiaceae.
AUGGUAUGAAUAUUGGGCUUAUUUCAACUGUUUACUCUAUGCACUUUCUAUCAUCAUUUAACUGAGUAAUACAUGCGAAACACCUCAGUGUGCCAUACCUGACUAGCCUAUCAAUUUUAUCUUUUAGCUGCUUGCACUUGUCAAUGGUAUAGCCAUAAUCAUCAUGAAACCGACAAAACUUACUUUGGUCCCUCCAAUCUGCAAUUCUUGGAUUUAACAUUUUUGGAUACUUGAUUGACUCUAUUCUUUUGAAUCCUAAACCCUAGAUUGGGAUCCACUUAGGGAAGUGUAAUUUCUGAACUUGUCUAGCACUCUAUCGUUGUUGAGAUACUCAGCCUUUUUGUCAAUGCUGUCUGGGCUACUUUUCUUUUCUUCCACCUUCACCUUUUUUUCAAGCUUUCUAUAAUUGUUUCUCAUCAUCCAGUUGGAUAUAUUUCUGGGCACACUCCAUGAGGGAUGAUAAUUCCGAACUAGAUUCUUGAUCAAUGAGUCAACAAAUUCGACAUUAUUCCACCCCUUCUUAAUUGCCUCACAUGCAAUUUCAUGGUUCAUAUGCUCGAACUGGAUGGCCUCAACAAUGAAUCGGUCGAUGUAACUGUGCAGUGACUCAUCCUCCUUCUGGCAGACCUUCUGCAAAUCUAGUGAGAGAUUUUUAAGCAGG